AUGAAGUUAUUGUGCGAUUUGUUGUGGGAGCUGCUUGUACAGUUUACAUCUCAGGGCCUGGAUUCUGGCACCUCGCAGAGGAUCUGGGGCAAGUCCAGACUUUUGACCGCAGGGGGCAGUGCAUCUGUAGUGGAGAUCCCCGAGUGUGUGAAGGUCACUCUGUACCUAGUGAGUAGGAAAAAGCAGUUCACGCCGGAGCCCCGAGGGCGCAGCGUCGCGGCCGCCCCCAGCCCCGCCACUCUGAGGAGCAGCUCGCACCAGACCUGUCGGGAGCAGCACAAGAAGAAGCACCCGGACGCGUCCGUCAACUUCGCCGAGUUCUCCAAGCGCCCGGAGAGGUGGAAGACCCUGUCCGCCAAGGAAAAGUCCAAGUUCGAAGACAUGGCCAAGAGUGACAAGGCCCGCGACGACCGGGAGCUGAAGAACUACGACCCUCCCCCCGAGGGCGACAAGAAGGGGAAGAAGAAGGACCCCGACGCGCCCAAGCGGCCGCCGUCCGGCUUCUUCCUGUUUUGCUCGGAGCAUCGCCCGCAGAUCAAGAGCGAGCACCCGGGCCUGUCCGUCGGGGGCACUGCCCAGAAGCUGGACGAGAUGCGGUCCGAGCAGUCGGCCAAGGACAAGCAGCCCUGCGAGCAGAAGGCCGCCAAGCUCAAGGAGAAGUACGAGAAGGAUAUUGCUGCCUACCGUGCCGGGGGCAAAAGCGAGGCAGGAAAGAAGGGCCCGGGCAGGCCUACAGGCUCAAAGAAGAAGGGCGAACCAGAAGAUGAGGAGGAGGAGGAAGAGGAAGAGGUUGAAGAUGAGGAGGAAGAGGACGAAGAUGAAGAAUCAAUGGCUCUCCUUUAAUGAUGUGUGUGGAGUAUGCGUGUGUGCUCAGGCAACUGUUUUGCUAAGAAUGUGAAUUCAAGUGUAGCUCAAUAUUAGCUUCAGUAUAAAAACUGUACAGAUUUUUGUAUAGCUGAUAAGAUUCUUUGUAGAGGAAAUACUUUAAAAAAUACAGGUUGUAGCUUUUUGAGGGGCUACUACAUACAGUUAGACUUUAAAGCUUCUGAUGUUGAAUGUUCCUAAAUAUUUAAUGGUUUCUUUAAUUUCUUGACUUGUGUAUGGUAGCACAGCAAACUUGUAGGAAUUAGUAUCAAUAGUAAAUUUGGGGUUUUUUAGGAUGUUGCAUUUUGUUUUUUAAAAAUUUUGUAAUAAAAUUAUGUAUAUUA
Molecule: RNA transcript, 1208 nt
Organism: Carlito syrichta (Philippine tarsier)
Lineage: Eukaryota; Metazoa; Chordata; Mammalia; Primates; Tarsiidae
Gene name: high mobility group protein B2 pseudogene
Exons: 2
Source: RefSeq, a predicted model, not a curated record